Molecule: ribosomal RNA, 858 nt
Filed under: uncultured euryarchaeote
Lineage: Archaea; Methanobacteriati; Methanobacteriota
Description: bacterial SSU rRNA
Rfam family: Archaeal small subunit ribosomal RNA
Source: RNAcentral
UUCCGGUUGAUCCCGCCGGAGGCGACCGCUUUGGGAGUUCGAUUAAGCCAUGCGAGUCGUGAGUCUUAGGGACUCGGCAUACUGCUCAGUAACACGUGGAUAACCUGCCCUAUCGUCUGGAAUAACCUCGGGAAACUGAGAAUAAGGCCGGAUAGUUCACAAUGCCUGGAACGGUUUGUGAAUCAAGGUAGGAUGGGUCUGCGGCGUAUCAGGUUGUAGGGGGUGUAAAGGACCCCCUAGCCUUCGACGCGUACGGGUGUUGGGAGACAUAGCCCGGAGAUGGAUUCUGAGACACGAAUCCAGACCCUACGGGGUGCAGCAGGCGCGAAAACUUCACACUGCAGGAAACUGUGAUGAGGGAACUCCUAGUGCAUGCACUAUGUGUAUGUAGAUCCUACUCUUAACAAGUAGAGGGAAAGGGCUGGGAAAGACCGGUGCCAGCCGCCGCGGUAAUACCGGCAGCUCAAGUGGUCGUCGCUUUUAUUGGGCCUAAAACGUCCGUAGCCUGUUUGGUAAAUCUGUGGGUAAAUCAAUCCGCCCAACGGAUUGAAUUCUGCAGAGACUGCCAGACUAGGGACCGGGAGAGGUGUGGGGUACUCGAGGGGUAGGGGUAAAAUCCUGUCAUCCUUCGAGGACCACCAGUUGCGAAGGCGCCACACUGGAACGGAUCCGACGGUCAGGGACGAAGCCUAGGGGCACGAACCGGAUUAGAUACCCGGGUAGUCCUAGGCGUAAACGCUGUGAACUUGGUGUCGGGGGUUCGCAAGGGGUCCCCGGUGCCGGAGUGAAGAUGUUAAGUUCACUGCCUGGGGAGUACGGUCGCAAGGCUGAAACUUAAAGGAAUUGGCGGGGCAGCAC